Molecule: ribosomal RNA, 441 nt
Filed under: uncultured bacterium
Lineage: Bacteria
Description: partial 16S ribosomal RNA
Rfam family: Bacterial small subunit ribosomal RNA
Source: RNAcentral
CCUACGGGAGGCAGCAGUGGGGGAUAUUGCACAAUGGGGGGAACCCUGAUGCAGCGACGCCGCGUGGGUGAAGGAGUGCUUCGGCAUGUAAAGCCCUAUCGGCAGGGAAGAAGCAAGACGGUACCUGACUAAGAAGCACCGGCUAAAUACGUGCCAGCAGCCGCGGUAAUACGUAUGGUGCAAGCGUUAUCCGGAUUUACUGGGUGUAAAGGGAGCGCAGGCGGCGCGUUAAGCCUGGUGUGAAAGUCCGCGGCCCAACCGCGGGACUGCAUUGGGAACUGGCGCGCUGGAGUGCCGGAGGGGUAGGCGGAAUUCCUAGUGUAGCGGUGAAAUGCGUAGAUAUUAGGAGGAACACCAGUGGCGAAGGCGGCCUACUGGACGGUGACUGACGCUGAGGCUCGAAAGCGUGGGGAGCAAACAGGAUUAGAUACCCGAGUAGUC